RNAcentral lists this ribosomal RNA (253 nucleotides) under uncultured bacterium. RNAcentral describes it as "partial 16S ribosomal RNA". It matches the Rfam family "Bacterial small subunit ribosomal RNA", at positions 524 to 776 of the family's 1533-position model. The record is from RNAcentral.
UACGGAGGGGGCUAGCGUUGUUCGGAAUUACUGGGCGUAAAGCGCGCGUAGGCGGCUUUGUAAGUUAGAGGUGAAAGCCCGAAGCUCAACUCCGGAACUGCCUUUAAAACUGCAUCGCUUGAAUCCAGGAGAGGUGAGUGGAAUUCCGAGUGUAGAGGUGAAAUUCGUAGAUAUUCGGAAGAACACCAGUGGCGAAGGCGGCUCACUGGACUGGUAUUGACGCUGAGGUGCGAAAGCGUGGGGAGCAAACAGG